UGGGGAGUACGACCGCAAGGUUGAAACUCAAAGGAAUUGACGGGGGCCCGCACAAGCGGUGGAGCAUGUGGUUUAAUUCGAAGCAACGCGAAGAACCUUACCAGGUCUUGACAUACUCGUGCUAUCCUUAGAGAUAAGGAGUUCCUUCGGGACACGGGAUACAGGUGGUGUAUGGUUGUCGUCAGCUCGUGUCGUGAGAUGUUGGGUUAAGUCCCGCAACGAGCGCAACCCUUAUUACUAGUUGCCAUCAUUAAGUUGGGCACUCUAGUGAGACUGCCGGUGAUAAACCGGAGGAAGGUGGGGAUGACGUCAAAUCAUCAUGCCCCUUAUGACCUGGGCUACACACGUGCUACAAUGGAUGGUACAACGAGUCGCCAACCCGCGAGGGUGCGCUAAUCUCUUAAAACCAUUCUCAGUUCGGAUUGCAGGCUGCAACUCGCCUGCAUGAAGUCGGAAUCGCUAGUAAUCGCGGAUCAGCACGCCGCGGUGAAUACGUUCCCGGGCCUUGUACACACCGCCCGUCACACCACGGAAGUUGGGAGUACCCAAAGUAGGUUGCCUAACCGCAAGGAGGGCGCUUCCUAAGGUAAGACCGAUGACUGGGGUGAAGUCGUAACAAGGUAACCAAGGGCGAAUUCGCGGC
Molecule: ribosomal RNA, 643 nt
Filed under: uncultured bacterium
Lineage: Bacteria
Description: bacterial SSU rRNA
Rfam family: Bacterial small subunit ribosomal RNA
Source: RNAcentral